This is a long non-coding RNA of Myotis lucifugus (little brown bat), 821 nucleotides long. RefSeq lists it as uncharacterized. The record is from RefSeq and is a predicted model, not a curated record. Lineage: Eukaryota; Metazoa; Chordata; Mammalia; Chiroptera; Vespertilionidae. The transcript has 2 exons.
GUUGGCACUGUGAGAGAAUAUAAAUGUGUAUAAAUAGGCCAUCAUGUCUGGGUUCUGGGAAUGAUGACUUUCUCUGAUUUCUGUCACUACAGAAUAGGUGGAUGACCUAUUUGUCAUCUCAUUGAGACAUAGUGACAUUGUACAGGUGAGCACCCAUACACAAACGAGAAUUUCUUGAUUGUACAGAGGAACACCAUACGCCCAGGGAAUCUCUGCAGCUUAUAAUGCUUACAGGACAAUGGGCUUAGGUGACACUUCACUACCAGGGGGCCAGGCUAGAUGCUCUUCAAGAACUUUGCUCAAGUGCUCAGAAUUUGUGCUGUAAAGUAGUUUCUUGUCCAUUUCCUGGAAACUUAUUUUAGCCCUGGCCACAAACCUCAGUGUGUUCUCAUCUGAACAUGAGUCAUCCCAGUUGUUACCCAGUAGCUACGUUACACACAGAGCCUGCAUUGCAAAGAGCUUUGACACAAUGUCCUUUCCUCCUGACAGCCAAGAAAGCUGCCGUGAAUUUACUGGGUGAUGAGAAGAAGAGCACCUAAACCACCCACAGGAUGAAACCCUCCUGCCCUCCGCACCUUCCUAUUGGAGCUUGAUGUUGUGUUGGGGACUGUGGUAUAAUCAUUUUAAUGUUGCCUUGGAAACAUUUUUGAUAUGUUAAAAAAUGGAAUGUGUGUUUCAGAUCAACAAUUACUGCUACUCUGGAGAGUCUGCCCACAGCCUGAAGAAAAUGAGCAUAGCCUUUCACUACGUUACUGCCUGUCCUGAAGAUGUGAUCUAUUGAAUGGAUAUGGAUGUAAAUAAAAUGCCAUUGUCUCACCGAA